UUCUCCCUCCAGGAGCUCUCACUCACCCCAGCAUGAAUACUCUUCAAAUUGGAUUUCCCAAAAUGGGUUUCAGAGAAAUCACCACCAGAUUUCUUCUCCACAACCCAAACCACCACCUCCCAUGUUCUUCUUCAAUGGUUGUAUCCAUUUCAAGCAGUGGGUUUUCAGGAAAAUCAACAAUUGUUUGUGGAUUAAGAAGUGGACCAAGAAAAUCGUUAUGGAGGUCAAGGGUUUUAUCAUCAGAAGCCAUACAAGCUGUUCAUUCAUUAAAGUUAGCAAGAAAUUCAGAUAAAUUAGAUGAGGUUUUUAGUAAUAGAUUAAGUAGGUUAUUGAAAGAAGAUUUGAUUGCUACUUUUACUGAAUUACAGAGACAGAAUGAAUUGGAAUUGUCCCUAAAGGUUUUUGGGUUUGUCCGCAAGGAGCCGUGGUACAAACCUGAUCUAUCCUUAUAUUCUGACUUGAUAUACAUGUUUGGUAAAAACAAACUGAUUGAGACAGCUGAAGAACUUUUCUUAGAAAUACAGAGAGAAGGUUUGAAGCCUAAUACCAGGACUUACACAGAGAUGAUUGGAGCAUUUAUACAAGUGAACAUGGUGGAAAAAGCAAUGGGUUUAUACGCCUCAAUGAAGGAAUCUGGCUGUGCUCCAGAUAAGUUAACAUUAACCAUAUUGAUAAGGAACCUUGAGAAAGCUGGAGAAGAAGAACUAGCCUCUGCAGUAAAAAAGGAUUGUGAAGAAUAUGUCGAGAACCCGGAGGAAUUCCUUAUAGAAGUAGCAAAAAAUUAUCCUAAGAGAAGAGUGAUUGAGCUGGUUUAAAGACUUUCUGUCAGACUGUCCCAAGUUAAUAUCUUUAGGAAGCAUGUGUAUAAUUUCCAUAGAAGUCUAGUGAAGAUGUGAAUAUUUCUCGAAGAUGAAUCGAAUGACUUCUAUGAAGACAGACAGGGGUUCCAUGUGCUACAGAUGUAAGCUUCUCUUUUACUUGCAUCUCGCAACAGAUAGGAAGUUGAUUCUUGCAUCUCGCAACAGGGAUUGGACUUCAUUGAGCUGAUAAUAAAGACUUCAUUUGUUGGGUUCUUCUUAAUUAAUAAAUGUGGAGAGAGCUACAAACUCCAGUUCAAAAUUAAAUGUGGAUUAUUCAGACUUCAUUUGUUGGGUUCUUCUUCUUCAUAUAAUCAAACAGGAGUUGGUGUGUUAAGUGGUGCACAAUGGAAAGAGAGGGCUACACUUUGUAAACAUCAUCAGAUUAUGUUAUGGGAUCUCUACCUUUCAGUUUCUACUUCUUGUAAAA
Papaver somniferum (opium poppy) is the source of this 1287-nucleotide RNA transcript. It is a transcript of the gene named pentatricopeptide repeat-containing protein At1g62350-like, with no coding region annotated. Lineage: Eukaryota; Viridiplantae; Streptophyta; Magnoliopsida; Ranunculales; Papaveraceae. The transcript has 4 exons. The record is from RefSeq and is a predicted model, not a curated record.